AGUCACUGACAUUAGAUACCCCCUGUAGUCCAGGGUGUAAACGCUGCAGACUUGGUGUUGGAAGCCCUUUGGGGGCAUUCAGUGCCGGAGAGAAGUUGUUAAGUCUGCUACUUGGGGAGUACGUCCGCAAGGAUGAAACUUAAAGGAAUUGGCGGGGGAGCACCGCAACGGGAGGAGCGUGCGGUUUAAUUGGAUUCAACACCGUAAAACUCACCAGGGAAGACUGUUACAUGAAGGCCGAGAUGAAGACUCUGCUAGAUUUUCAG
This 266-nucleotide ribosomal RNA is filed under the name uncultured archaeon. RNAcentral's name for it is "partial 16S ribosomal RNA". It matches the Rfam family "Archaeal small subunit ribosomal RNA", at positions 718 to 982 of the family's 1478-position model. The record is from RNAcentral.